GAUGAACGCUGGCGGCGCGCCUAAUACAUGCAAGUCGAGCGAACAGAUGAGAAGCUUGCUUCUCUGAUGUUAGCGGCGGACGGGUGAGUAACACGUGGGUAACCUACCUAUAAGACUGGGAUAACUCCGGGAAACCGGGGCUAAUACCGGAUAAUAUUUUGAACCGCAUGGUUCAAUAGUGAAAGACGGUUUCGGCUGUCACUUAUAGAUGGACCCGCGCCGUAUCAGCUAGUUGGUAAGGUAACGGCUUACCAAGGCGACGAUACGUAGCCGACCUGAGAGGGUGAUCGGCCACACUGGAACUGAGACACGGUCCAGACUCCUACGGGAGGCAGCAGUAGGGAAUCUUCCGCAAUGGGCGAAAGCCUGACGGAGCAACGCCGCGUGAGUGAUGAAGGUCUUCGGAUCGUAAAACUCUGUUGUUAGGGAAGAACAAAUUUGUUAGUAACUGAACAAGUCUUGACGGUACCUAACCAGAAAGCCACGGCUAACUACGUGCCAGCCGCCGCGGUAA
This 514-nucleotide ribosomal RNA is filed under the name uncultured bacterium. RNAcentral's name for it is "partial 16S ribosomal RNA". It matches the Rfam family "Bacterial small subunit ribosomal RNA", at positions 28 to 523 of the family's 1533-position model. The record is from RNAcentral.